Molecule: ribosomal RNA, 493 nt
Filed under: uncultured bacterium
Lineage: Bacteria
Description: partial 16S ribosomal RNA
Rfam family: Bacterial small subunit ribosomal RNA
Source: RNAcentral
GACGAACGCUGGCGGCGUGCUUAACACAUGCAAGUCGAACGCUGAAGCCCUUUCGGGGGUGGAUGAGUGGCGAACGGGUGAGUAACAUGUGGGUAAUCUGCCCUGUACUUCGGGAUAAGCCUUGGAAACGGGGUCUAAUACCGGAUAGGACCUGUCCUCGCAUGGGGGUGGGUGGAAAGUUCCGGCGGUAUGGGAUGAGCCCGCGGCCUAUCAGCUUGUUGGUGGGGUAGUGGCCUACCAAGGCGACGACGGGUAGCCGGCCUGAGAGGGUGACCGGUCACACUGGGACUGAGACACGGCCCAGACUCCUACGGGAGGCAGCAGUGGGGAAUCUUGCGCAAUGGGCGAAAGCCUGACGCAGCAACGCCGCGUGGGGGAUGACGGCCUUCGGGUUGUAAACCUCUUUCGACAUCGACGAAGGGGCCCUGUUGUGGGGCUUUGACGGUAGGUGUAGAAGAAGCACCGGCUAACUACGUGCCAGCAGCCGCGGUAA